UACGUAGGGGGCUAGCGUUAUCCGGAUUUACUGGGCGUAAAGGGUGCGUAGGUGGUUUCUUAAGUCAGAGGUGAAAGGCUACGGCUCAACCGUAGUAAGCCUUUGAAACUGGGAAACUUGAGUGCAGGAGAGGAGAGUGGAAUUCCUAGUGUAGCGGUGAAAUGCGUAGAUAUUAGGAGGAACACCAGUUGCGAAGGCGGCUCUCUGGACUGUAACUGACACUGAGGCACGAAAGCGUGGGGAGCAAACAGG
Molecule: ribosomal RNA, 252 nt
Filed under: uncultured bacterium
Lineage: Bacteria
Description: partial 16S ribosomal RNA
Rfam family: Bacterial small subunit ribosomal RNA
Source: RNAcentral